Molecule: transfer RNA, 66 nt
Filed under: Rhynchothorax sp. JZ-2022
Lineage: Eukaryota; Metazoa; Arthropoda; Pycnogonida; Pantopoda; Tanystylidae
Description: tRNA-Leu
Source: RNAcentral
UCUAAAUUGGCAGAAAUAGAUGCAAUAGGUUUAGAGCCUUUUUAUAAAAGUAAUUUUUAUUUAGAA